This 87-nucleotide transfer RNA is filed under the name Desulfamplus sp. RNAcentral's name for it is "tRNA-Leu". It matches the Rfam family "tRNA". Rfam says of the family: Transfer RNA (tRNA) molecules are approximately 80 nucleotides in length. The record is from RNAcentral. Lineage: Bacteria; Pseudomonadati; Thermodesulfobacteriota; Desulfobacteria; Desulfobacterales; Desulfobacteraceae.
GCCGAAGUGGCGGAAUUGGUAGACGCGCUAGUUUCAGGGACUAGUAAACGCAUGUUUGUGGGAGUUCGAGUCUCCCCUUCGGCACCA